UGCAUCCAACUCCAAUGGAAUCAGAUGGCUUU
RNAcentral lists this non-coding RNA (32 nucleotides) under Rattus norvegicus (Norway rat). The record is from RNAcentral. Lineage: Eukaryota; Metazoa; Chordata; Mammalia; Rodentia; Muridae.